ACCGGCAGCUCAAGUGGUGGCCAUUUUUAUUGGGCCUAAAGCGUUCGUAGCCGGCUUGAUAAGUCUCUGGUGAAAUCCCACAGCUCAACUGUGGGAAUUCCUGGAGAUACUAUCAGGCUUGAGGCCGGGAGAGGCUGGAGGUACUCCCAGUGUAGGGGUGAAAUGCGAUGAUCUUGGGAGGACCACCUGUGGCGAAGGCGGCCAGCUGGAACGGACCUGACGGUGAGGUGCGAAAGCGAGGGGAGCGAACCG
This 252-nucleotide ribosomal RNA is filed under the name uncultured prokaryote. RNAcentral describes it as "partial 16S rRNA". It matches the Rfam family "Archaeal small subunit ribosomal RNA", at positions 475 to 726 of the family's 1478-position model. The record is from RNAcentral.